This is a long non-coding RNA of Rosa rugosa (rugosa rose), 1168 nucleotides long. RefSeq lists it as uncharacterized. The transcript is spliced from 5 exons. The record is from RefSeq and is a predicted model, not a curated record. NCBI's taxonomy places the organism in Eukaryota, Viridiplantae, Streptophyta, Magnoliopsida, Rosales, Rosaceae.
CAAAACUGAAACAGAAAACCCUAAUCAUAGUCUCGCUCGACUCCUUCAUUCUGAACUCACCCCAAACUGGAGCUCCUCCCAAACUCGACCUCCAUUCUGGACCCUAAGCUCACUCGAACUCGCCGCCAUUGCUUCCUUCAUCUACGUCCUCUCUCCCUCUCUAGUUUCACAGCUAGCUAACUCACACAAAUCGAGCCAUGGCUCCUCCCAGUCUUCUCGGUCCUCCCGAGCUCCACAAACCCUCACCCACCACCACCGCUCCGCCGCCACCCGAACCCGAAUCCAAACCCCAAGGCCUGGAACUGGAAAGUCCGACAAGGAAGGCUUCCAUAUGGCGGCGUUUUGGCUCCACAAGCACCACCCCAAAACUCGCCUGCAACCUCGCGUCCUUCUCCGAGAUCGGUUACUUGAAGGACCUGCCGGAGAUCGUGUACCGGCUUCUGGAGGGCGAGGACGUGAGGAAGAAACAGAAGGCGGAGUGGCGGGAGAGGAAAUGCGCCGGAGGCAGGAAGCGACGGGAAUCCGGAUCCGACGGCGAAACCGGGUUGAGCUCCGAGAAGAAGAGAAUCAGAAAAAAGAGAGGAAAAUGGAGAGAGAAGAAGACGAUUCAGUGAGCGAGGUUCUCAGAGAUCGAUUCAGACUCUCCACCAUCUCUAUCGCCGAUGCCGAAGUUUUCAAUUCUAGUUCUCCAAGCAGCGAAGAGAAGCGGCAUGGAGAUAUCGGAACCCGUGGUGGCUUGCAUUUCCGACUUGGCCUUCAAAUUUACUGGUCUCUUUGCUUUGGAGACAUGGAGCAAUAAGCAAUGCCAAGCAUUCCCCAAAUUGCAAGUAACCGAAAUUUCAAAGCUUUCGUCUUCGGAUUUGAUCUCAAUCAGUAGAGAAUUAGGCAUUUGAUUUUUCAAUUCUGGCCGCGAAAUGGUGGACUGGAAAGAGAAGAUAAGGUCUCUUUGAACCUGACGGAGGAGAUUCUCCAAAGCAUGGAAGUUGGGCUGGCUUUCAGGGACUACAAUGGUAGAAUCAGUUCGUUGGAUUUUCUCAAGGCUUCGAGUUAUGUAGUGACUGCUAGUGAUGAUGAGUCUAUUUGCUUGUAUGAUGUCUCCACUGCAGCGUAAGGUGCUUGAAGACCAUUAACAGCAAAAAGUAUGGGGUUGAUUUGGUUUGCUUCACUU